CCUACGGGGGGCAGCAGUGAGGAAUAUUUGUCAAUGGACGAGAGUCUGAACCAGCCAAGUAGCGUGAAGGAUGACUGCCCUAUGGGUUGUAAACUUCUUUUAUAUGGGAAUAAAAUGUUCCACGUGUGGCAUUUUGUAUGUACCAUAUGAAUAAGGAUCGGCUAACUCCGUGCCAGCAGCCGCGGUAAUACGGAGGAUCCGAGCGUUAUCCGGAGUUAUUGGGGGUAAAGGGAGCGUAGGUGGAUUGUUAAGUCAGUUGUGAAAGUUUGCGGCUCAACCGUAAAAUUGCAGUUGAAACUGGAAGUCUGGAGUACAGUAGAGGUGGGAGGAA
RNAcentral lists this ribosomal RNA (331 nucleotides) under uncultured bacterium. Its description in RNAcentral is "partial 16S ribosomal RNA". It matches the Rfam family "Bacterial small subunit ribosomal RNA", at positions 338 to 666 of the family's 1533-position model. The record is from RNAcentral.